This 492-nucleotide ribosomal RNA is filed under the name uncultured bacterium. RNAcentral describes it as "partial 16S ribosomal RNA". It matches the Rfam family "Bacterial small subunit ribosomal RNA", at positions 29 to 507 of the family's 1533-position model. The record is from RNAcentral.
AGUGAACGCUGGCGGUAGGCCUAACACAUGCAAGUCGAACGGCAGCACAGUAAGAGCUUGCUCUUACGGGUGGCGAGUGGAGGACGGGUGAGGAAUACAUCGGAAUCUACUUUUUCGUGGGGGAUAACGUAGGGAAACUUACGAUAAUACCGCAUACGACAUACGGGUGAAAGCAGGGGAUCUUCGGACCUUGCGCGAUUGAAUGAGCCGAUGUCGGAUUAGCUAGUUGGCGGGGUAAAGGCCAACCAAGGCGACGAUCCGUAGCUGGUCUGAGAGGAUGAUCAGCCACACUGGAACUGAGACACGGUCCAGACUCCUACGGGAGGCAGCAGUGGGGAAUAUUGGACAAUGGGCGCAAGCCUGAUCCAGCCAUACCGCGUGGGUGAUGAAGGCCUUCGGGUUGUAAAGCCCUUUUGUUGGGAAAGAAAAGCAGCAGGUUAAUACCCCGCUGUUCUGACGGUACCCAAAGAAUAAGCACCGGCUAACUACGUG